Molecule: transfer RNA, 85 nt
Filed under: Spirochaetia bacterium
Lineage: Bacteria; Pseudomonadati; Spirochaetota; Spirochaetia
Description: tRNA-Ser
Rfam family: tRNA
About the family: Transfer RNA (tRNA) molecules are approximately 80 nucleotides in length.
Source: RNAcentral
GGAGAGUUGUCCGAGUGGUUUAAGGAGGCGGUCUUGAAAACCGUUGAGGUGAAAGCCUCCGGGGGUUCGAAUCCCUCACUCUCCG